RNAcentral lists this small RNA (125 nucleotides) under Marmota monax (woodchuck). Lineage: Eukaryota; Metazoa; Chordata; Mammalia; Rodentia; Sciuridae. The record is from RNAcentral.
GCUGGGCGCAGUGGCACACGCCUGUAAUCCCAGCACCUGGGGGGGCUGAUGCAGGAGGAUCACAAGUUCAAAGCCAGCCUCAGCAAAAGCAAGGUGCUAAGCAACUCAGUGAGACCCUGUCUCUA